This 544-nucleotide ribosomal RNA is filed under the name Fusarium culmorum. Its description in RNAcentral is "eukaryotic LSU rRNA". The stretch from base 179 to 332 matches the Rfam family "5.8S ribosomal RNA". The record is from RNAcentral. Lineage: Eukaryota; Fungi; Ascomycota; Sordariomycetes; Hypocreales; Nectriaceae.
CCGUAGGGUGAACCUGCGGAGGGAUCAUUACCGAGUUUACAACUCCCAAACCCCUGUGAACAUACCUUAUGUUGCCUCGGCGGAUCAGCCCGCGCCCCGUAAAAAGGGACGGCCCGCCGCAGGAACCCUAAACUCUGUUUUUAGUGGAACUUCUGAGUAUAAAAAACAAAUAAAUCAAAACUUUCAACAACGGAUCUCUUGGUUCUGGCAUCGAUGAAGAACGCAGCAAAAUGCGAUAAGUAAUGUGAAUUGCAGAAUUCAGUGAAUCAUCGAAUCUUUGAACGCACAUUGCGCCCGCCAGUAUUCUGGCGGGCAUGCCUGUUCGAGCGUCAUUUCAACCCUCAAGCCCAGCUUGGUGUUGGGAGCUGCAGUCCUGCUGCACUCCCCAAAUACAUUGGCGGUCACGUCGAGCUUCCAUAGCGUAGUAAUUUACACAUCGUUACUGGUAAUCGUCGCGGCCACGCCGUUAAACCCCAACUUCUGAAUGUUGACCUCGGAUCAGGUAGGAAUACCCGCUGAACUUAAGCAUAUCAAUAAGCGGAGG